GGGGGGGGGCUCGGAGGGAUCAUUACAGAGUUGCAAGACUCCCUAAACCAUUGUGAACCUACCUUCUACCGUUGCUUCGGCGGGCGGGCCCAGCGCCCCCCCCGGCCCCCCGCGGGCGCCCGCCGGAGGAUACCCAAACUCUUGACAUUAGUGGCCUCUCUGAGUAUUCUUUACUGAAUAAGUCAAAACUUUCAACAACGGAUCUCUUGGUUCUGGCAUCGAUGAAGAACGCAGCGAAAUGCGAUAAGUAAUGUGAAUUGCAGAAUUCAGUGAAUCAUCGAAUCUUUGAACGCACAUUGCGCCCGCCAGUAUUCUGGCGGGCAUGCCUGUUCGAGCGUCAUUUCAACCAUCAAGCCCCCGGGCUUGUGUUGGGGACCUGCGGCUGCCCGCAGGCCCUGAAAACCAGUGGCGGGCUCGCUAGUCACACCGAGCGUAGUAGCAUACAUCUCGCUCAGGGCGUGCUGCGGGUUCCGGCCGUUAAACAGCCUCUGCGCUACACCCAAGGUUGACCUCGGAUCAGGUAGGAAGACCCGCUGAACUUAAGCAUAUCUAAA
Molecule: ribosomal RNA, 554 nt
Rfam family: 5.8S ribosomal RNA (bases 187-340)